CCUACGGGAGGCAGCAGUAGGGAAUCUUCCGCAAUGGACGAAAGUCUGACGGAGCAACGCCGCGUGAACGAUGAAGGCCUUCGGGUCGUAAAGUUCUGUUGUUAGGGAAGAACAAGUGCUAGUUGAAUAAGCUGGCACCUUGACGGUACCUAACCAGAAAGCCACGGCUAACUACGUGCCAGCAGCCGCGGUAAUACGUAGGUGGCAAGCGUUGUCCGGAAUUAUUGGGCGUAAAGCGCGCGCAGGCGGUUUCUUAAGUCUGAUGUGAAAGCCCCCGGCUCAACCGGGGAGGGUCAUUGGAAACUGGGAAACUUGAGUGCAGAAGAGGAAAGUGGAAUUCCAAGUGUAGCGGUGAAAUGCGUAGAGAUUUGGAGGAACACCAGUGGCGAAGGCGACUUUCUGGUCUGUAACUGACGCUGAGGCGCGAAAGCGUGGGGAGCAAACAGGAUUAGGAUACCCUGGUAGUCCACGCUGUAAACGAUGAGUGCUAAGUGUUAGAGGGUUUCCGCCCUUUAGUGCUGAAGUUAACGCAUUAAGCACUCCGCCUGGGGAUACGGUCGCAAGACUGAAACUCAAAGGAUUGACGG
Molecule: ribosomal RNA, 587 nt
Filed under: uncultured bacterium
Lineage: Bacteria
Description: bacterial SSU rRNA
Rfam family: Bacterial small subunit ribosomal RNA
Source: RNAcentral